UCCGCAGGCGGGCAAUUAAGUCAGAGGUGAAAGUCUGCAGCUCAACUGUAGAAUUGCCCUUGAUACUGGUUGUCUUGAGUCAUUAUGAAGUAGUUAGAAUAUGUAGUGUAGCGGUGAAAUGCAUAGAUAUUACAUAGAAUACCAAUUGCGAAGGCAGAUUACUAAUAAUGUACUGACACUGAUGGACGAAAGCGUGGGGAGCGAACAGGAUUAGAUACCCUGGUAGUCC
RNAcentral lists this ribosomal RNA (229 nucleotides) under uncultured bacterium. RNAcentral describes it as "partial 16S ribosomal RNA". It matches the Rfam family "Bacterial small subunit ribosomal RNA", at positions 568 to 796 of the family's 1533-position model. The record is from RNAcentral.